Chionomys nivalis (European snow vole) is the source of this 519-nucleotide non-coding RNA. Lineage: Eukaryota; Metazoa; Chordata; Mammalia; Rodentia; Cricetidae. The record is from the annotation of a RefSeq genome assembly.
AUGGGAUGGACCUGGACCAUUCUCUUCCUUGUGUCUGUAACUACAGGUGUCCACUCUCAGGUACAACUGAAGCAGUCUGGUCCUGAGCUUAGAAAACCUGGGUCCUCAGUGAAGCUAUCCUACAAGGCUUCUGGCUACACCUUCCCUGAUUACAGUAUUGACUGGAUGAAGCAGAAGCCAGGAGAGAGCCUGGAGUGGAUUGGAGUUAUUUAUCCUAGAAAUGGUAAUACUGAAUACAAUCAGAAGUUUCAGGGCAAGGCCAAACUGACUGCAGACACAUCCUCCAGCACAGCCUACAUGGAGCUCAGCAGCCUGACAUCUGAGGGCUCUGCAGUCUAUUACUGUGCAAGCACAGUGUUGAAACCACAUCCUGAGUGUGUCAGAAACCCUGGAGGAGCAGGAAGCUGCCCUGAGACUGAGAUUGCAUACAAGAUUGUUCUGGAGCCUUGUUCCAGAGUAUGCUAUACCUUGACCUGCUGUUUACCUGUGACCACCUCCAUUGACAUGAAUAAUUUUUAA